CUUGGCGGAACCGAGCCACAGGGGGUGUUCCCGCUGGGCGCCGUAGGUGGCCAGCAGCGCCUGCGCCUC
RNAcentral lists this antisense RNA (69 nucleotides) under Streptomyces oceani. RNAcentral describes it as "Streptomyces sp. SCSIO 02100 ASpks TB sRNA". It matches the Rfam family "ASpks TB sRNA". The record is from Rfam by way of RNAcentral. Lineage: Bacteria; Bacillati; Actinomycetota; Actinomycetes; Kitasatosporales; Streptomycetaceae.